CUCAAGUCAGUCUCCUUGAUCCAGGGUUUGGGGCAAAAUUUAAGAGGUUGGGGGAACAGGCUGAUACGCGGAAGCGCCGGCAGGGCAGGUGUCCGUUGGAGGGCUCUAAAUAUUUACGAGUGACCCACCCCUAGUCAUUGGAAUUCAACUGUGCUCCAUGCUGUAGGAGAGGCAGCAACACCAAAUCUUUAUCUCAAUGUCUGCACUACCUUCCAAACAUAGAGCCUGAGUCAAGAACCCAGUGAGAUCCUGAGGGGAAAGCCUACAGCACAGAGAUUAUUUUCCUCGUGCUACAUUUGUAGCUCUAGAAAAGAGGCUACAUCUCCAGAUGCCACCCCCAUCCAACCUUCUGGAGGCAGCCCCAGGAGACAGCAGUGGUUGUGCACCAGAGGUAAAAAUGUUGGAUAAUUACUACCAUAUUCUCAUCACCUCAGAGGUGGAAAAGAUAGCCUGCCAUCUCCUUACAGUGAUCUUAAAGAAGCAGGUGCCCUGCACAAGGUGGCUGCUUUGAAGAUCCAUCCACAGAUGACUGCUCUCCUCCCCUGUGGGUUCUUCC
This 556-nucleotide long non-coding RNA is filed under the name Equus asinus (donkey). RNAcentral describes it as "lncRNA (ENSEASG00005029171.1)". The record is from RNAcentral. Lineage: Eukaryota; Metazoa; Chordata; Mammalia; Perissodactyla; Equidae.